AUGUUGGGGUUUUUAAUUCGAAGCAACGCGCAGAACCUUACCAGCUCUUGACAUUCGGGGUAUGGGCAUUGGAGACGAUGUCCUUCAGUUAGGCUGGCCCCAGAACAGGUGCUGCAUGGCUGUCGUCAGCUCGUGUCGAGAGAUGUUGGGUUAAGUCCCGCAACGAGCGCAACCCUCGCCCUUAGUUGCCAGCAUUUAGUUGGGCACUCUAAGGGGACUGCCGGUGAUAAGCCGAGAGGAAGGUGGGGAUGACAUCAAGUCCUCAAGGCCCUUACGGGCUGGGCUACAGACGUGCUACAAUGGGGGUGACAGUGGGCAGCGAGACAGCGAUGUCGAGCUAAUCUCCAAAUGCGGUGUCAGUGCGGAUUGCACUCUGAAACUCGAGUGCUUGAAGUUGGAAA
RNAcentral lists this ribosomal RNA (401 nucleotides) under Rhizobium sp. DASA 68070. RNAcentral describes it as "bacterial SSU rRNA". It matches the Rfam family "Bacterial small subunit ribosomal RNA", at positions 931 to 1332 of the family's 1533-position model. The record is from RNAcentral. Lineage: Bacteria; Pseudomonadati; Pseudomonadota; Alphaproteobacteria; Hyphomicrobiales; Rhizobiaceae.